RNAcentral lists this long non-coding RNA (1720 nucleotides) under Lathyrus oleraceus (garden pea). Its description in RNAcentral is "Pisum sativum (pea) long non-coding RNA (PSAT_LNC024728)". Lineage: Eukaryota; Viridiplantae; Streptophyta; Magnoliopsida; Fabales; Fabaceae. The record is from RNAcentral.
GACCAUAUUUUGUUCAUUUUAUUUUAUGUAUUAUUUUAAUUACAAAAAAUACCAAAAAUAUGUUUGACCUUUCUUGACUUCUAAUCUUCAUUUCACUUCUGUUUACCAUUUGUUUAUGUUGAUUCCAUUCACAUUUGACCAUUAUAUUUUGAUUAUGUCAUUUGAAUUCUCAUUUUCUAUUCAUUUCAUUUCAUCUUCAUCUUCUUCUUUUUAUUGUGGCUAAUGAGUUAAUGAUUUGUGGUUAGCAUUGACAUAUGAGAGGCUUAACCUUCUUUGAUCUAAAUCAAAUUCAACUUGAUCAAAGAUCAAGUGAAUUGCUUUGUGUCCAAGAUAGGUUGCUUCUUGGUCAAGCAAAAUACCUAAAAUCCAUACAAGGCCUUUCAUUCUUUUCUUUUGGCAUGGCAAGUUGUACGAGCUUGGCUUACUAGUCAUGAUCUCUAACUUGUGUUUGUUUCCCUAUAGUUUUAUUGACCGACCUCAGAUAGGUGUGACUACUACAUUAGUCCAUUUACGAUUGCUUAACAUAGCGCUAAAUUGCUUUAUGACACACUAACACUAACUACUAAUUACUAAGUUUUAAUUCAAGCAUUUAAUUCUUGCAAUUUACUUUAAUGCAAUUUAAUUUCUUGCUCAUUUAUUCAUAUUGUCUUUUCCCUUUGCUCACACCCAAUAUAAGACCUUUAUGACCUGAUUUCACACACACACACGCCAUUGAAGAGAGAGAAACCGAAUCUACACAUUUUAAUCCUGCAAGCAUUUUUCUCCAUUGAAAGCUCUUCUCUCUUUAUUUCUCCUGCUUCCUUCCUCUCAUUUGAAGACUACAAAUCAUUGUUGGUGGGGUCUCUGAAGCUCAAACAAGCACAAGAGGUCGUGGACCUUCUCCACUAGGUAAGCUUCUCCUCUUUUCAUCUCCUUCAUUUUGGACUUGAAUAUGCCAUGAAUAGCUUACAUACAUUGCUUAUUAAUGGUUUAAAAUGAUAGUUUUGUUUGCUUGUUUGGAUGUUAGAUGUAUGAGUUGCUAAAAAUUUCUGAAAAUAGUGUGUUUUGCUUGACUUUCGUGCUAACUUUCUCCAUGAUUCAUACAUCUUUUUGAGAUUUUCUUGACAUGUUUUUGUUCUACUCUAUGAGAUCUACAAUUUUGCUUUUGAUUUCAUUUAAUUUCAUGGACUGUUGAUGAAGUUAUAUGCAUGUGAAGUUGUUGGGUAGAGGUUGCAUGAAUCUAGGGUUAGUUUCGUGCAUGCUUUUGGGUCGAAAUUGAAAAUGAUGUGUGGCGUGUUUUGAUUGGCUGGAUUUUAUUUUUAUCAUUUCUGACUUAAGUGGGUGUGACCGGUUGAUGCAAGGUCACAUGAUUAUUUUGUUUUAUUUAAAAUGACAUUCCCUUUUAAUUCUGAUUAAUAGGUUUGGAUCAUGGACUUUGUACCUUCACUUUCCCCACCCCCUACUUUAGCCCCAUCUACGUGUUUCACUUGGUUUCAGUUCAUUUCUUUUUUACUCCUGCACCCUCAUUUGCCAUUUAGCUUCAUUUUAUUUCUUUUAUUUUAUUUUUCUAUUCUGAUUCAAUUUUAAUAUUUCCAAUGCUCCAAAAAUACAUGAUUAUUUUUUAACAUGUUAAUUAAUUUUUUAUAUUUUUAUAUUUUAUUUUUAUAAUUGUUUUAAUAUUUUAUUUUAAUUAUAUCAUAAAAUGUGUUUAGCUUGGCUUAGUUUUUGAAUUAGGGUUUGA